GAAAUGCGAUAAGUAAUGUGAAUUGCAGAAUUCAGUGAAUCAUCGAAUCUUUGAACGCACCUUGCGCUCCUUGGUAUUCCGAGGAGCAUGCCUGUUCGAGCGUCAUUACAACCCUCAGGCCCCCGGGCCUGGCGUUGGGGAUCGGCGGAAGCCCCCUGCGGGCACAACGCCGUCCCCCAAAUACAGUGGCGGUCCCGCCGCAGCUUCCAUUGCGUAGUAGCUAACACCUCGCAACUGGAGAGCGGCGCGGCCACGCCGUAAAACACCCAACUUCUGAAUGUUGACCUCGAAUCAGGUAGGAAUACCCGCUGAACUUAAGC
This 320-nucleotide unclassified non-coding RNA is filed under the name plant metagenome. Its description in RNAcentral is "partial contains 5.8S ribosomal RNA, internal transcribed spacer 2, and large subunit ribosomal RNA". The stretch from base 1 to 105 matches the Rfam family "5.8S ribosomal RNA", at positions 50 to 154 of the family's 154-position model. The record is from RNAcentral.